AUCNUCCGCAAUGGCCGAAAGUCUGUCGGAGNAACGCCGCGUGAGUGAUGAAGGUUUUCGGGUCGUAAAACUCUGUUGUUAGGGAAGAACAAGUACCGUUCGAAUAGGGCGGUACCUUGACGGUACCUAACCAGAAAGCCACGGCUAACUCCGUUCCAGCAGCCGCGGUAAUACGUAGGUGGCAAGCGUUGUCCGGAAUUAUUGGGCGUAAAGCGCGCGCGGGCGGUUUCUUAAGUCUGAUGUGAAAGCCCCCGGCUCAACCGGGGAGGGUCAUUGGAAACUGGGGAACUUGAGUGCAGAAGAGGAGAGUGGAAUUCCACGUGUAGCGGUGAAAUGCGUAGAGAUGUGGAGGAACACCAGUGGUGAAGGCGACUCUCUGGUCUGUAACUGACGCUGAGGCGCGAAAGCGUGGGGAGCGAACAG
RNAcentral lists this ribosomal RNA (423 nucleotides) under uncultured bacterium. RNAcentral's name for it is "bacterial SSU rRNA". It matches the Rfam family "Bacterial small subunit ribosomal RNA", at positions 361 to 775 of the family's 1533-position model. The record is from RNAcentral.